UUGCGCUCGCAGCUAGACGUAACCUUCGAGCAUACUGGAUCAAAGUCGUAACACCAUAGACGUAUCUUCUACCGGCCUUUCGUCUCGCCGUUCUUACUGUUUACAUCGUAUGGCUUCCAAGCGAAAUCCGCGUCAAUUAUCUGUGCUAGCGUUCCGCUCGUCGAAAAGUGCAUCGCGUGCGUGAAGAUAUCAGUCGAGAUCAAAGUAAAGUUGCAUAGCAUCCUUUUUGCGUUCAGCAGUUCUACGAAGUGGAUCGCGCGUAUUACUCUUCUGUUACUUCCUACACAUCUUGGAACAUCUACACCUUUGAAAGAGAGUAACUUCGACGUGGCAUAUCAUGGAAUCUAAAAUACGAAGAACUGAAAUAUCUGUGGAUGACCAAACAGAGAUUUAAGUGGGUAAUUUUUAAGAUCUUUGAGAGAGAGCACACACUGAACGAUCAAGUAAAUCAAGAAUUUAAAUGAACAAUCUUUGGGAUCUUUGAACACAUGACAAUCAAGUGAAUCGAGUGGACAAUCUUUGAAGUCUUCAAGUAUAGUGAGUCAAAUAUUUCUAAAAUUAAUAAUAUUGGUCAUAUAGUUAUGCAAUCCAACCCAUAAAAUUAUGAUAUUUGAGUUUUUGUUACAUGAGAUAUCAAUGCAAAAUUUAUUGGAGCUGGAUUGUUCACAUACACUAUAGCUAGUGCAUAAUACACACACACAAACUUACAUAGUCACAUAACUUCAUUUAAACACUAAUUUUAUAAAAAAAUGUUUCGAAUAAGAAUUGCGUAGACUAACAGCAAGCAUAUUUCUAUGGAUGUAUGUGUACAAAUCGCUUUCCAAGAAUUACUAAAACAAAAAAGACCCAAGCCUUAUAGGUGCCUAAAAUUAAUUAAGAAAUAGAUCUUAUUUUUUACUAGUUGUGUCAGUUUUUACUAAUUGUAUAUUUUUUAUCUAUUUUUUAAAAGCUUGUUAAUGAGUACACUUAAGAGCAGAUUGAUCAUACUUGACUUUUUCAAUAUUACAAAGAAUCUCAAUGCUAUCUAAGCUUCUUAAACUAUAUAUCGAAUUUUUAUGUUCAUUUGUCUCGAAACAUACUUUAUGUGAGUUGGAUCAUUCCUAUAUAAGUACAGUCAAUUGCUAAAAGGAGAUUUAUUCACAUAUGACAAUGACACUCGUGUCAUUAAUGAGACUCAACACUAUGAUUAUUUGUUAUUAAGUAAUUUAUUGCAAUCUUUUAAUUAAUUAUUCGUAUAAAUCGUUUUUUUCUCGAAUUUUCACGCAUCAAAAAUUUUCUCGAGAACCAAAAUAAACUUGACAAGUGACUCAGAAAAUCUACGCUCUCCUGUCGAGCGCACACAACUUUAUAGCGUAGGUGAUCGUGCGCUACAUAUGUUUCUUGAAACAAUCCGUAAUUGAUGCGUAUUUAUGUACUCGAAAAGAACUCGCGUUCCGGAUAUACCUCUCACGGAGUCGACGGCGACGACGACGACGACGUCGUCGUCGUCGAAGGCGGUUUCGACUAAGUCGUCGAUUUGACAUCUAACGAGUAAACUCGCUUCGCUUACCACGGGCCAGGAAGAGGGGCGCCAGCACGGAAUUUAUUCAACAGGUUUACGAAGUGACGAUGCGAUGAAACAUCCAUAAUGGUGGCUCGUGGUCUCCCCUUCUCUCUCUCUUUC
Odontomachus brunneus is the source of this 1663-nucleotide long non-coding RNA. RefSeq lists it as uncharacterized. The record is from RefSeq and is a predicted model, not a curated record. The transcript is spliced from 6 exons. NCBI's taxonomy places the organism in Eukaryota, Metazoa, Arthropoda, Insecta, Hymenoptera, Formicidae.